GUGCUCGCUUCGGCAGCACGUAUACUAAAAUUGGAAUGAUACAGAGAAGAUUAGUAUGGCCCCUGCGCAAAGAUGACACGCAAAUUCAUGAAGCAUUCCAUAUUUAA
This is a small nuclear RNA of Homo sapiens (human), 107 nucleotides long. Lineage: Eukaryota; Metazoa; Chordata; Mammalia; Primates; Hominidae. The record is from Ensembl.